UACGGGGGGGGCAAGCGUUGUUCGGAAUUACUGGGCGUAAAGGGUUCGUAGGUGGCUUUCUAAGUCAGACGUGAAAUCCCUCAGCUUAACUGGGGAACUGCGUCUGAAACUGGCGAGCUUGAGUGCAGGAGAGGAACGCGGAAUUCCAGGUGUAGCGGUGAAAUGCGUUGAUAUCUGGAGGAACACCGGUGGCGAAGGCGGCGUUCUGGACUGUAACUGACACUGAGGAACGAAAGCCAGGGGAGCAAACGGG
This 253-nucleotide ribosomal RNA is filed under the name uncultured bacterium. RNAcentral describes it as "partial 16S ribosomal RNA". It matches the Rfam family "Bacterial small subunit ribosomal RNA", at positions 524 to 776 of the family's 1533-position model. The record is from RNAcentral.